GAUGAACGCUGGCGAUAGGCUUAACACAUGCAAGUCGAGGGGCAGCAUGGUCUUAGCUUGCUAAGGCUGAUGGCGACCGGCGCACGGGUGCGUAACGCGUAGGCAACUUGCCUCACAGAGGGGGAUAACCAGUCGAGAGACGGACUAAUACUGCGUACACGCUCUGUUGGGCAUCCAAUGUAGAGGAAAUGAAAUUCGCUGUGAGAUAGGCAUGCGUCCCAUUCGCUAGUUGGUGGGGUGACGGCUCACCAAGGCGACGAUGGGGAGGGGAACUGAGAGGGUGGGCCCCCACACUGGUACUGGGACACGGACCAGGCUCCUACGGGAGGCAGCAGUGAGGAAUAUUGGUCAAUGGGCGAGAGCCUGAACCAGCCAAGUCGGGGGAAGGAUGACUGUCUUAUGGAUUGUAAACUUCUUUUAUACGGGAAGAACAAGAGUCACGUGUGGCUCCCUGCAGGUAGCGGAUGAAUAAGCACCGGCUAACUCCGUG
Molecule: ribosomal RNA, 490 nt
Filed under: uncultured bacterium
Lineage: Bacteria
Description: partial 16S ribosomal RNA
Rfam family: Bacterial small subunit ribosomal RNA
Source: RNAcentral